Molecule: ribosomal RNA, 253 nt
Filed under: uncultured bacterium
Lineage: Bacteria
Description: partial 16S ribosomal RNA
Rfam family: Bacterial small subunit ribosomal RNA
Source: RNAcentral
UACGAGGGGGGCAAGCGUUGUUCGGAAUUAUUGGGCGUAAAGGGCGCGUAGGCGGUGCGGUAAGUCGGGUGUGAAAUUUCGGAGCUUAACUCCGAAACUGCAUUCGAUACUGCCGUGCUUGAGGACUGGAGAGGAGACUGGAAUUUACGGUGUAGCAGUGAAAUGCGUAGAGAUCGUAAGGAAGACCAGUGGCGAAGGCGGGUCUCUGGACAGUUCCUGACACUGAGGCACGAAGGCCAGGGGAGCAAACGGG